UUAUGGUUCAGUGGUAAGAAUAUCUGCCUUGCAUGUUGAAGGUCCCAGGUUAAAUCUCUGACCCUAACCAGCAAAG
Molecule: non-coding RNA, 76 nt
Organism: Podarcis lilfordi (Lilford's wall lizard)
Lineage: Eukaryota; Metazoa; Chordata; Lepidosauria; Squamata; Lacertidae
Source: the annotation of a GenBank genome assembly